GGCCCAAUCUAUGACUCUGGUGGCAGAGGCACUUGGGAGAUGUCGUCUUCUCAUCACCCUGUGUUCUCACUCACCCACGGAUUACAAGCUAUUCAGCUCAGAAAGAUAAAGCCACUAAGUCCUUCUGCCUUGAGUGGUGACAUGCUGUAUCAACGGGCUUACCAAACACAGCAUGACACUCUCCUAAGGAGAGGACAGCGAGAGAAGAAAGGAAGACCGCCUGAGCCUACGGGCUGACUCGCGGCUUGACGACCACAACGACUCCUGGGACGUUGAAGCAAACUUGAGCCAACGGGCAAGCGACCGGAAACAAUCAGAAUCGACAUUCUCUGCGUUUCAGAUGUUGAAUUCGCUCUCUCCCCUUAUUAAAACUGUUUCAGGGGAGCAGUCAGUUAGGACCUUCCGCGGGGACGCCUCUGAUGUGCACCGCUCACUCAGAUUCGGUUUCUGCCUUCCAAACCCGUAAAAUGUCUGACCGUGUCUGUCUGUGCAUGUGGCAUGAUCGUCCUAGAGAAAUGAGUAAACAUGUUGUAUGUGUGUGUAUGCACGUAUGACUACCGCGAGGAGACAUUGCGCCGGGAAACACACGGUUCGUCUGAGAUCGCUCCCCGAGUCGGUAUUUUUGGGGGGUUUGGCGUGUGUGGGGCUGGAAGAAGACAGCGAAGAGGAGAAGGUGAGAUCGAUGCCUGAGUAAAAUCCCAGUAUGAAUGAAAACUCGAGCAGAGCCCAUAGUAAAACACGGAAGAGAGAUAUCACAGCAGAAUGACAGGAGGUAGAAAGAGGGCAGUCCGGUGAAACAGAUACAGUAUCUCUGCUUGAUCACUUAAUAGGUAAACGUGCGUCCGAAUGUCUUCCAAUUAAAAAACAUCUUGGUGGCUGUAUGAUAUUGCAAUUAUACUGUAUGACGUCUAAACAACAUAUGAUUUUUUUAAUUCAUAUUUUUGGUAAUCUGUCAACGUGUAUAACGAAUAAAAUAAAAGCUGAUCUAGGGGCUCGCUUUU
This 1001-nucleotide long non-coding RNA is filed under the name Lepisosteus oculatus (spotted gar). Its description in RNAcentral is "lncRNA (ENSLOCG00000022645.1)". The record is from RNAcentral. Lineage: Eukaryota; Metazoa; Chordata; Actinopteri; Semionotiformes; Lepisosteidae.